This 433-nucleotide ribosomal RNA is filed under the name uncultured bacterium. Its description in RNAcentral is "partial 16S ribosomal RNA". It matches the Rfam family "Bacterial small subunit ribosomal RNA", at positions 29 to 507 of the family's 1533-position model. The record is from RNAcentral.
AACGAACGCUGGCGGCAUGCCUAACACAUGCAAGUCGAACGAUCCCUUCGGGGGUAGUGGCGCACGGGUGCGUAACGCGUGGGAACCUGCCCUUAGGUUCGGAAUAACUCAGAGAAGUUUGAGCUAAUACCGGAUAAUGUCUUCGGACCAAAGAUUUAUCGCCUUUGGAUGGGCCCGCGUUGGUUUAGCUGGUUGGUGGGGUAAAGGCCUACCAAGGCGACGAUCCAUAGCUGGUCUGAGAGGAUGAUCAGCCACACUGGGACUGAGACACGGCCCAGACUCCUACGGGAGGCAGCAGUGGGUAAUAUUGGACAAUGGGCGAAAGCCUGAUCCAGCAAUGCCGCGUGAGUGAUGAAGGCCUUAGGGUUGUAAAGCUCUUUUACCCGGGAUGAUAAUGACAGUACCGGGAGAAUAAGCCCCGGCUAACUCCGUG